Long non-coding RNA from Arvicola amphibius (Eurasian water vole), 576 nucleotides. RefSeq lists it as uncharacterized. The transcript is spliced from 3 exons. The record is from RefSeq and is a predicted model, not a curated record. NCBI's taxonomy places the organism in Eukaryota, Metazoa, Chordata, Mammalia, Rodentia, Cricetidae.
UGGAGCUGCAGCUGCCCGUUAGUCCCUGCCCUCUCCACCACCACCAAAAUAAAGUCCCAUUACUUAGCUCAGGUUGGUCUCGAACUCACGAUCCUCUUCCUUAAACCAAGGACUGGUAUUACAGGCUUGUGCCUCCACGAUAACAGCUCUCAUUUUUUUAAAAGGCUGAAACUAUAAUCUUUACAUUGCCUCCGGGACCCACAAGACUUAAUUCUGUCGAGGAGAAUGCUUGCCUCUUCUUGAACUUCCUUUAGUCACCCCUUCACUGAAGAUGCCCUGGCCUUAAGAGGUGGUGGCACACACCUUUAAUUCCAGUUCCAGAAGGCAGAGGCAGGUGGCUCUCUAGCCAGCCUGGUCUACAGAAUGAGUUCCAGGACAGCAGGACUCCGCAGUGAAGCCAUUUUGGAAAAAAAGACUGGUCUACUUUGCUGCUCUUUGAGCCUGCAGAUGCUUGCCAAAGUCUGGACAUGUUUUCCCCGGUGUUCUGAGCUGCCUCACUUUCCCUCUGAGCCACCCUCCUGGGUCCAGCUUCUGCCCUUGACCAUCUCUGCUCCUAACGCAAAAGGCGUCUCUCUC